CGUAGGACGAACGCUGGCGGCGUGCCUAAUACAUGCAAGUCGAGCGCGGGAAGCGGACUCGUCACCCUUCGGGGUGUCUAGUCCGUGGAACGAGCGGCGGAUGGGUGAGUAUCACGUGGGCAACCUGCCUGUAAGAUUGGGAUAACUCGCGGAAACGUGAGCUAAUACCGAAUGAAGUCUUUCACCGCCUGGUGAAAGGAUGAAAGAUGGCUUUUAGCUAUCACUUACAGAUGGGCCCGCGGCGCAUUAGCUAGUUGGUGGGGUAAAGGCCUACCAAGGCGACGAUGCGUAGCCGACCUGAGAGGGUGAUCGGCCACACUGGGACUGAGACACGGCCCAGACUCCUACGGGAGGCAGCAGUAGGGAAUCUUCCGCAAUGGACGAAAGUCUGACGGAGCAACGCCGCGUGAGUUGAUGAAGGUCUUCGGAUCGUAAAAACUCUGUUGUCAGGGAAGAACAAGUUGUGUUCUAACAGGACAUGACCUUGACGGUACCUGACCAGAAAGCCCCGGCUAACUACGUGCCAGCAGCCGC
Molecule: ribosomal RNA, 534 nt
Filed under: uncultured bacterium
Lineage: Bacteria
Description: bacterial SSU rRNA
Rfam family: Bacterial small subunit ribosomal RNA
Source: RNAcentral